RNAcentral lists this ribosomal RNA (444 nucleotides) under uncultured soil bacterium. RNAcentral describes it as "bacterial SSU rRNA". It matches the Rfam family "Bacterial small subunit ribosomal RNA", at positions 26 to 518 of the family's 1533-position model. The record is from RNAcentral.
AGAACGAACGCUGGCGGCAUGCCUAACACAUGCAAGUCGAACGAGACCUUCGGGUCUAGUGGCGCACGGGUGCGUAACGCGUGGGAAUCUGCCCUUGGGUUCGGAAUAACAGUUGGAAACGACUGCUAAUACCGGAUGAUGACGUAAGUCCAAAGAUUUAUCGCCCAGGGAUGAGCCCGCGUAGGAUUAGCUAGUUGGUGAGGUAAAGGCUCACCAAGGCGACGAUCCUUAGCUGGUCUGAGAGGAUGAUCAGCCACACUGGGACUGAGACACGGCCCAGACUCCUACGGGAGGCAGCAGUGGGGAAUAUUGGACAAUGGGCGAAAGCCUGAUCCAGCAAUGCCGCGUGAGUGAUGAAGGCCUUAGGUUGUAAAGCUCUUUUACCCGGGAAGAUAAUGACUGUACCGGAGAAUAAGCUCCGGCUAACUCCGUGCCAGCAGCCGC